CGAAAGUGAAGAUCAUAUGACCACAGCAGCAAUGCAGCAGCAGCCACUGAAUCAGCCAUUAUAUCAAAUUUCAUUCCCUCAAGAUUUACAGAUCUUGGAUUUUAGAUGCAUUCUUUCAGUCAAGCCAUUCAAGGAGAAUGCUCAAGCAAACCAACUGAAUCCAGUUGUGUUGUGAAUUGACAAACUACUUGUCUUAGAAGAAAAAUUAGACACAGGAAAUUCAAAGCAACAGACAAAAUCCUAGUCAGAAUGGAUCAUCGUUGGACUGACCUGGAGACAAGAUGGGUUGUUACCAAUCCAUCAAAUCUGGUCCUUGCAGCAGGACAGGUGAAUUUUCACAGACCUAACAUAUGUAACACUUUCUUGUUACUCACAAAAGCCAAGAAUAAUACUUGGGGAGAAACAAAGACACAGGCUUGUGAAAAUGUCACAUGUGUAUUUUCCAGUAAAAGUUGUCUAACAGGAAAGAGGUGUCACAAUCCAUUCGGUGGAGCUGCUCAAGCAGUUAUUACUAUUCUCUGCAAGCUAAGGUUAACAGAGGUCUCUUCCAGUGCCGGAAUUUAAGAUUCAUUAUUUUAUUCCCUCAAGAUGAAAAUUCAGUCAAAAGAAAACAUUGUAAAAUGCCAGAAUCAGUUUCAAAUUAAUUAGGUGUUCCACCCUCACUCUGCAGGGAAGUCUUUUUGCCAACACCCAAAGGGAAGGGAUUGAAAGAAGAAAGAAGGUGCUUUGAAAAGAAACCAAUGUUUCGAGAUAUACAAAAAGGACAGAUUUAAGUUGCUUCAUUUCUCUGAAAAGCAUGUUAGACUUUCCCGGCCACACCCUACAUUACCUUCUGAAGACUCUAUUGUGGGCAUGAGAUAAUUUUGUUUCUGCUCUUCUUUCACUUUAAAAAAAAACAAUAACAAAAAGGCACCCUUCUUCCAGAUUGAGCAGACACGCUAGAUAAUUCCGAUUAAAUGUCAGUGAUUUGGUCUGAUUCGAACAUAAUGAGGUGUUUGUUAUUUUACAAGUCUGAUGUAGUUUCAAAACUUGGCAAUAAGGAGGAGUCUUGAAGACACUUAGCGUGGUUGUGACAACUUUCUUUUCAGGAACAUCUGAAGACUUCAGGGAAAGGCUUUCACUUCACAUAUCUUUCAUGUCAUAUAUUCCCUUUCAUACUAUGCCCUUGGCUGAAGAGUCAUCCUCAAAUUAGAAGGAUCAAGAUGGAGCCAUCAGGGAAUUAGACACAGCUCCACCCUACCAACAGUACUCUGAUGAUAUCAGGACCCGAUAUCACCUGGCUAUGGUGAUUCAGACCCUACCCUGGAGGCGCAUCAACCAACACAUGUGACGACAGAGCCAGAGAAAUGCGAAGCUGCAGAAACACCUAGCACAAGUUACCCAAGAGCUUCCUGGUUGAUCAGUGCUAACUAUUUUCAGAAGAUAAGAGCUUCCUGUCGGAAAUGUACUACUGUGAGUUAUUCAGGGGAAAAAAAAAGAGUAUUUCUGAGAUUAUUGUUGCUCUGAGACAAAGUCUUGGCCUUUCUAAAUAACUGCCUGAUAUGGUCAGUCGAUUUCAUAUUUAGGAAAGACACUGGUUUGUCUGCAGAGAGCUCCAGAGAAAUGUUCUUAAAAUACCUAGAUUUCUAUUGUAAUGAUUUAGGCAGUUAUGAUAAAAUGCUCUUCCUUCUUCAGCACUACGCUGUUGUGGCCUUUUCACAAUUCCAAAUAUAUUUUUAAAAGAUAUAGUUUUGGUGGUUAUUUACUUUUGUUAUUUUGUCAUAUUUCAC
Molecule: non-coding RNA, 1769 nt
Organism: Pseudonaja textilis
Lineage: Eukaryota; Metazoa; Chordata; Lepidosauria; Squamata; Elapidae
Source: RefSeq, a predicted model, not a curated record